This is a long non-coding RNA of Hemicordylus capensis (graceful crag lizard), 1086 nucleotides long. RefSeq lists it as uncharacterized. The transcript is spliced from 6 exons. The record is from RefSeq and is a predicted model, not a curated record. Lineage: Eukaryota; Metazoa; Chordata; Lepidosauria; Squamata; Cordylidae.
ACAGGACUCUGAAAGGGGGUGUGGCCACUCAGAGAGCCAGUUUAUUAGUGGGGAGAGAAGGGGGCGUGGCAGCCACGGAGCGAAGCUAUUGGACCGCAGGAGCGAGGCGAAGGCAGAGGUGAGGAGGAGGAUGGCGAGAGGAGGCCGGCCCCGCCGAGGUCGGUGUUGUGAGAUUCUGUUUGUCACAGAUGAACAAGACAGAAUUCCUUUUGAAAACUAUUCUCAUUGGCAAGAUCCAAACAGCCCCAGAACAUACAUGUAUGGAAUAAGCCAGUGCUACAUCUUACAUUAAGCUGAACUCCUGGUUUACUGAGAAGAGUGUUCCUUCUGUAAAAUCUUUGGGUGAAUUGACUUGAGAUUACCUAAAGCGAACAGAGUGUAAGUAAGAAGCACUGCAUGGAGGAGUACAUCCAGAGAAUAAGUAGUCAGAAGUGGAACCUGAAGAAAUUCCAUAUAUAGAACUUGAAGAAAUUAGACGAGCAGAAAAGAGAUUUAGAACUGGAGCCAGAAAUCGGCUGUUUGAAAACAGACAAUAUUGAAACAGUGAAUUAGAAAUGUAAGUCACAACCAGACAGCAACAAGACAGGCUCCAGUCUAAUUUCAUGCUGGAGUUGUGGAAACAACUUCGCUUCAUACAACAUAAGAAAGUGAACAUAAGGAAGUACCUGGCACCUGUAUCUCCCAAAACAAUGUCCCUGAUGAAAAAACUUGAUUCACCAGCAGCGUUAGUGUAGAUGUCAAGACACUAUAUAUAUUUUUAAGCCGAUUGACCAAUUUUAACUGGAAGACAUUUAUUACUUUGAAUUAUAUCCCUCUUUCAUCAAAAAAGGCAUUUAAAGAAUCUUUAUUCUAGUUUGAUAGAAGGGCUUUGGGCACAGGAAUGGUCCAUUAAGUUACAAGAAGAGUUGCAAUCACUCAUUGUGGCCUGGUGGAGAAGUAACACUGGCUUUCAGCAAACUUGUUUGCAGGAAUCAGACUCAGGAAUACACGUUUGCAUGCACACCAACACAAAUUCCCUCCUUUUCUUUGUGAAGCAUGGUUAAGUAUUACAUCUUCACUGACACUAACCACAGUUAACAUUAACCA